Molecule: ribosomal RNA, 700 nt
Filed under: Paramicrothyrium sp.
Lineage: Eukaryota; Fungi; Ascomycota; Dothideomycetes
Description: eukaryotic LSU rRNA
Rfam family: Eukaryotic large subunit ribosomal RNA (bases 487-700)
Source: RNAcentral
CUUUGUGAACCUUACCUAUCGUCAGUUGCUUCGGCGGGAGGCCCCUGGGAGGGGCCCCGGGGCCCGGCCUGAGCCGGGCUCCCGCCGGAGGAGCGCAAUCCAAACUCUUGCUGUACCUCAGUGGAACAUCCGAGUCAAAACAAAUAAACAAGUUAAAACUUUCAACAACGGAUCUCUUGGUUCUGGCAUCGAUGAAGAACGCAGCGAAAUGCGAUAAGUAAUGUGAAUUGCAUAAUUCAGUGAAUCAUCCAAUCUUUGAACGCACAUUGCGCCCGCCAGUAUUCUGGCGGGCAUGCCUGUUCGAGCGUCAUUUCAACCACUCACGCCCUGGUGCCUGGCGUCGGGGUGUUCCGCCUCACGGCGGAAGCCCCUAGAGACAGUGGCGGACCCGCCGCGGCUCCGAGCGCAGUAGUAAAAUAUCUCGCUAUGGAGGUACGCGGGGGGGCUUACCGGCCGUAAAAACUUUCUUCGGAAAAAUCUCAAGGUUGACCUCGGAUCAGGUAGGAAUACCCGCUGAACUUAAGCAUAUCAAUAAGCGGAGGAAAAGAAACCAACAGGGAUUGCCCCAGUAACGGCGAGUGAAGCGGCAACAGCUCAGAUUUGAAAUCUGGUCCCCAGGGCCCGAGUUGUAAUCUGUAGAGGAUGCUUCUGGCAAGGCGCCGUCCGAGUUCCCUGGAACGGGACGCCGGAGAGGGUGAGA